RNAcentral lists this unclassified non-coding RNA (345 nucleotides) under soil metagenome. RNAcentral describes it as "partial contains 5.8S ribosomal RNA, internal transcribed spacer 2, and large subunit ribosomal RNA". The stretch from base 1 to 120 matches the Rfam family "5.8S ribosomal RNA", at positions 35 to 154 of the family's 154-position model. The record is from RNAcentral.
GAUGAAGAACGUAGCGAAAUGCGAUACGUAAUGUGAAUUGCAGAAUUCAGUGUAUCAUCGAGUCUUUGAACGCACAUUGCGCCCCCUGGUAUUCCGGGGGGCAUGCCUGUCCGAGCGUCAUUGCUGCCCUCAAGCACGGCUUGUGUGUUGGGCCUCCGUCCUCCUCCCGGGGGACGGGCCCGAAAGGCAGCGGCGGCACCGCGUCCGGUCCUCGAGCGUAUGGGGCUUCGUCACCCGCUCUUGUAGGCCCGGCCGGCGCUUGCCGACACAUCAAUCUUUUUUCCAGGUUGACCUCGGAUCAGGUAGGGAUACCCGCUGAACUUAAGCAUAUCAAUAAGCGGAGGA